UUCCGGUUGAUCCUGCCGGAGGCGACCGCUUUUGGAGUUCGAUUAAGCCAUGCGAGUAGAAAGAAAUUAGAUUCUUUGCGAACUGCUCAGUAACACGUGGAUAACCUGCCCUAUGCUCCGGAAUAACCUCGGGAAACUGAGAAUAAUACCGGAUAGAUCACAACGCCUGGAACGGCGUGUGGUUGAAAGAUUACGGCAUAGGAUGGGUCUGCGGCGUAUCAGGUUGUAGGGGGUGUAAAGGACCUCCUAGCCAUCGACGCGUACGGGUGUUGGGAGACAUAGCCCGGAGAUGGAUUCUGAGACACGAAUCCAGACCCUACGGGGUGCAGCAGGCGCGAAAACUUCACACUGCAGGAAACUGUGAUGAGGGAACUCCAAGUGCACGCACUUAGUGUGUGCUUUUUUCAACUAUUAAUCGGUUGAAGAAUAAGGGCUGGGAAAGACCGGUGCCAGCCGCCGCGGUAAUACCGGCAGCUCAAGUGGUCGUCGCUUUUAUUGGGCCUAAAACGUCCGUAGCCUGUUUGGUAAAUCUGUGGGUAAAUCAACCAGCUUAACUGGUUGAAUUCUGCAGAGACUGCCAGACUAGGGACCGGGAGAGGUGUGGGGUACUCUAGGGGUAGGGGUAAAAUCCUGUCAUCCUUAGAGGACCACCAGUUGCGAAGGCGCCACACUGGAACGGAUCCGACGGUCAGGGACGAAGCCUAGGGGCACGAACCGGAUUAGAUACCCGGGUAGUCCUAGGUGUAAACGCUGUGAACUUGGUGUCGGGGAUCCGUCAUGGGUCCCCGGUGCCGGAGUGAAGAUGUUAAGUUCACUGCCUGGGGAGUACGGUCGCAAGGCUGAAACUUAAAGGAAUUGGCGGGGGAGCACUGCAACGGGAGGAGCGUGCGGUUUAAUUGGAUUCAACGCCGGA
This 913-nucleotide ribosomal RNA is filed under the name uncultured archaeon. Its description in RNAcentral is "bacterial SSU rRNA". It matches the Rfam family "Archaeal small subunit ribosomal RNA", at positions 1 to 922 of the family's 1478-position model. The record is from RNAcentral.